This 391-nucleotide unclassified non-coding RNA is filed under the name soil metagenome. RNAcentral describes it as "partial contains 5.8S ribosomal RNA, internal transcribed spacer 2, and large subunit ribosomal RNA". The stretch from base 1 to 122 matches the Rfam family "5.8S ribosomal RNA", at positions 35 to 154 of the family's 154-position model. The record is from RNAcentral.
GAUGAAGAACGUAGCGAAAUGCGAUACUUGGUGUGAAUUGCAGAAUCCCGUGAACCAUCGAGUCUUUGAACGCAAGUUGCGCCCGAAGCCAUUAGGCCGAGGGUACGCCUGCCUGGGCGUCACACGUCGUUGCCCCCCCAUCUACUCCUUCGGGAUUGCGGGGGGCGGAUGAUGGCCUCCCGUGCGCCUCGCCGCGCGGUUGGCAUAAAUGCCAAGUCCUCGGCGACGCACGCCACGACAAUCGGUGGUUGCGAAACCUCGGUUGCCCGUCGUGUGCGGUCGUCGCGCAUCGAGGGCUCGAAAAAAUUGCCGGGUUCCGGCUCGGCUUUCAACGCGACCCCAGGUCAGGCGGGGUUACCCGCUGAAUUUAAGCAUAUCAAUAAGCGGAGGA